AGACCACCCUCUCGCGAGGUUCCACGGAUAUCUGAUUUGUGACAACACUCUUGACGGUAAAGAACUCUCUGGGUCGAAAUUUCCCGCCUUCACCUGGGGCUGCAAAACAAACGUGUCUAGAGAGGCCGCGAGAAUUUAGGGUGGAACUAGGAUCAUCCACGAACUCCAUCAUGUGGUCUGUGACUCGGCCCAAGUCACAAGCCGUUUCAUCGCCUGAAAGAGUCAAUCAUGUCAGUCAUGACUCACUAUCCGGCUCACAUUGUUAUUGAUUAUUGAUUCGGCGGAGGGAUACAAAACUAACUACUUAAAAUCCAUAGGUUGAGUAAUGAAAUGAAUUCGACAAAUUCGGAGUUCCAAAUCGGAUUGUUUUCGCCCUGGUUAAAAUGGCUCAUCAAGUAUAAAGCACAAACAGCAAAAUUGGUUUUAACCGAAAUUCUAACUCACAUUGCAAAGACAUCAAAAUAAGGAACGCAAAUACACUUGAUUUACACCGCGCCAAUAUGCCAAACGCUACGUCUUUGAGCGCACAUGCCAUCGUUUACAAAAGCAGCUUGGCACAGGGGGUCUUUGGCACAUUCGUUCCGGCAAUCAUCCGUGUUUCCAGUUUGGAUCCUAUAGUCGCCUGAAAUAUGAAAUAAAAAAU
Molecule: long non-coding RNA, 643 nt
Organism: Tigriopus californicus
Lineage: Eukaryota; Metazoa; Arthropoda; Copepoda; Harpacticoida; Harpacticidae
Exons: 3
Source: RefSeq, a predicted model, not a curated record